Molecule: transfer RNA, 76 nt
Rfam family: tRNA
About the family: Transfer RNA (tRNA) molecules are approximately 80 nucleotides in length. Their secondary structure includes four short double-helical elements and three loops (D, anti-codon, and T loops).
Source: Rfam
GGUCAAGUAGCUCAGUUAGUUAGAGCACUGUCUCCAGAAGGUGGCAGGGACCUGGGUUCAAUUCCCAGCUUGGUCA